GAACAUGGAAAUCGGUCCGUUCUUAAUUGAACAUAUCUGACAUUCAGUUGCCGGAUAUGGGAUCUUCGUCAUUUACUGUGAGCAAAAUAGAGUGUUCAAAGCAGGCUUAGGCCGUUGAAUACAUUAGCAUGGAAUAAUAAGAUAAGACCUUGGUCUAUUUUGUUGGUUUGCAUUCCAAGGUA
This 182-nucleotide ribosomal RNA is filed under the name uncultured fungus. Its description in RNAcentral is "partial small subunit ribosomal RNA". Lineage: Eukaryota; Fungi. The record is from RNAcentral.